RNAcentral lists this ribosomal RNA (442 nucleotides) under uncultured bacterium. Its description in RNAcentral is "partial 16S ribosomal RNA". It matches the Rfam family "Bacterial small subunit ribosomal RNA", at positions 338 to 795 of the family's 1533-position model. The record is from RNAcentral.
CCUACGGGCGGCAGCAGUGGGGAAUAUUGGGCAAUGGACGCAAGUCUGACCCAGCAACGCCGCGUGAAGGAAGAAGGCUCUCGGGUUGUAAACCUCCUUUUAGGGGGAAGAGCAGAAGACGGUACCUCCCGAAUAAGCUAUGGCUAACUACGUGCCAGCAGCCGCGGUCAUACGUAGGUGGCAAGCGUUGUCCGGAUUUACUGGGUGUAAAGGGCGUGCAGCCGGGGAGACAAGUCAGAUGUGAAAUCCACGGGCUCAACCCGUGAACUGCAUUUGAUACUGUUUCCCUUGAGUGUCGGAGAGGUAGUCGGAAUUCGUGGUGUAGCGGUGAAAUGCGUAGAUAUAAGGAAGAACACCGGUGGCGAAGGCAGAUUACUGGACGAUAACUGACGGUGAGGCGCGAAAGCGUGGGGAGCAAACAGGAUUAGAUACCCCAGUAGUC